UCUGAUGGGAAUAACCACUAAGUUCACCCCCAAAUCUCACUUUCCAUCUACUCCUGAUCUUUUCCUACUGUUUCUGCCCAGGGCCAGCAGGGGUUAGGGCAGCGGGAUGGGCUUGUUUUCCUAACCUUCUGCUAAGCUCGCUGAAUGCGUCAGCACACCAAGUAAGGCCCUCGGUGAAGCGCGUCUCCUGCCCCUUCAGCAGCUGCUGCAUCUGCCGCACAGCUGCCAGGAGCUGCUGCCUGCCUGGGCAGCCCUGCGGGCACAGCAAAUACUCAGCACCCACAGCUCCAGCACACACCUGGCUCCUCCAGGUCCCAUCAUUUGCCCCCAUUGGCCAAACACGGGGGUUCUGAAUCCAGACCUCGUGUGGGAAAUCCCUAGCUGUGGCAUAGCCUCCUACAUCCUAACAUGGUAACGCAUCACUCUGAUAGCUUUGUUAGCCCUGGGAGAGAUGCCACAGCUCGUCCUGCUGGAGCUAGAGCCAUGUCCCACUUCCAUAUUACAAAAUAAUAGGAAAACAGAUGUCUU
RNAcentral lists this long non-coding RNA (528 nucleotides) under Gallus gallus (chicken). Its description in RNAcentral is "long non-coding RNA NONGGAT005733". The record is from RNAcentral. Lineage: Eukaryota; Metazoa; Chordata; Aves; Galliformes; Phasianidae.